Molecule: ribosomal RNA, 460 nt
Filed under: uncultured bacterium
Lineage: Bacteria
Description: partial 16S ribosomal RNA
Rfam family: Bacterial small subunit ribosomal RNA
Source: RNAcentral
CCUACGGGUGGCAGCAGUGAGGAAUAUUGGUCAAUGGACGAGAGUCUGAACCAGCCAAGUAGCGUGAAGGAUGACUGCCCUAUGGGUUGUAAACUUCUUUUAUAUGGGAAUAAAAUGUUCCACGUGUGGGGUUUUGUAUGUACCAUAUGAAUAAGGAUCGGCUAACUCCGUGCCAGCAGCCGCGGUAAUACGGAGGAUCCGAGCGUUAUCCGGAUUUAUUGGGUUUAAAGGGAGCGUAGGUGGAUUGUUAAGUCAGUUGUGAAAGUUUGCGGCUCAACCGGAAAAUUGCAGUUGAAACUGGCAGACUAGAGUACAGUAGAGGUGGGCGGAAUUCGUGGUGUAGCGGUGAAAUGCGUAGAUAUCACGAAGAACUCUGAUUGCGAAGGCAGCUCACUGGACUGCAACUGACACUGAGGCUCGAAGGUGUGGGUAUCAAACGGGAUUAGAUACCCUUGUAGUC